CAGCAUCACACAUAUUUCCACUCUUGGUUUUAGAUCCAUGUAUUCUGCCUAUGUGAUGCUUCAUCAACUUUCCUGGUAGAAGGCAUGGCUCUGCCUCCCAUCUAAGGAAGAUAAUUUGAUGUUUAUAAACGUGGAAGGAGGGGCAGAGAGAGACGCCAGGCUGGGCAGGGUUUGGCCGAUGCUGGUGGUUUUGAAGCUGGACGAAGAGGACCCUAGAAGCUGGAAGAAGCAAGGAAAAGGAUUCUCCUCCACUGGUUCCACAAAGAGAGCACAGCCAUGCGACUCUUUGACUUCAGCCCAGGGAGACCUGUGUCAGACGUCGAACCCACAGAACUGUAAGCCUUCAGCUGGGCCAGAAUAUGGUGAGUCAGAUGUAACCAUGUAGAAGAGGAUAACACUGGUGAAACAAGUCUGAGUUCUUGAUUGCAAACACUGAAAACCGAGGAGAGUUUAUCAAGCAGGAAGGGAAUUUACAAGAAGGAUAUCUGAAAGCACAAAAAAUUGAAGAAAUGGCUCGAGAAAAUGUAACCAAGGACAAUUAUGCAUCUGGGCGUAUAUUCGAGAUCACACCUCAGGGACACUCAGCAUGAGAAGCCUGAAAAACUGGGAAAUGGUAUGUAUUCCAGUCAGUGGAACAACUGUUGUGCUGUCAAGUGACGAGACUUCCUUAGAGACAAGAGCCCAGAGUCAUAGGUACAGGAGGUAAAAUUUUGCCUGUGAGUCAUUUGGAUGUAAGUGUGAGCAGCAUCACACAUAUUUCCACUCUUGGUUUUAGAUCCAUGUAUUCUGCCUAUGUGAUGCUUCAUCAACUUUCCUGGUAGAAGGCAUGGCUCUGCCUCCCAUCUAAGGAAGAUAAUUUGAUGUUUAUAAACGUGGAAGGAGGGGCAGAGAGAGACGCCAGGCUGGGCAGGGUUUGGCCGAUGCUGGUGGUUUUGAAGCUGGACGAAGAGGACCCUAGAAGCUGGAAGAAGCAAGGAAAAGGAUUCUCCUCCACUGGUUCCACAAAGAGAGCACAGCCAUGCGACUCUUUGACUUCAGCCCAGGGAGACCUGUGUCAGACGUCGAACCCACAGAACUGUAAGCCUUCAGCUGGGCCAGAAUAUGGUGAGUCAGAUGUAACCAUGUAGAAGAGGAUAACACUGGUGAAACAAGACAGGGGAAUCGAGCAGGUUUGUGUGUGUGAGAGCAUUGCUCUCAGGAGGUGAGAUGAGGGCGCACUUUCCAGCGCAGAAGUACAAAAGACAGGUCACACGCAAUGCUGCUGGAGACCCGACAUAGAGGCUUGCUCGCCCACCUCACCAUUUGUACACCAUGGAAUGCCUCUCUGGAAUUUGCGAGGUUGUGCUUUGUGGAGAUUGUGGACAAGUGCGUCUCAUGAGAGACCUCCAGCUUCGUGGCUGAGUUGACCCUUUCACGGUAAGAUGGGAAAAAAGCGUCACUACCAAGAGCGGCGUUCGAGAAAUUACCUGA
Molecule: long non-coding RNA, 1470 nt
Organism: Balaenoptera acutorostrata (minke whale)
Lineage: Eukaryota; Metazoa; Chordata; Mammalia; Artiodactyla; Balaenopteridae
Exons: 9
Source: RefSeq, a predicted model, not a curated record